This 399-nucleotide unclassified non-coding RNA is filed under the name Hevea brasiliensis (rubber tree). Lineage: Eukaryota; Viridiplantae; Streptophyta; Magnoliopsida; Malpighiales; Euphorbiaceae. The record is from RNAcentral.
GACAGAGACAACAUCUAAAGGACAAAUCUUUUGAGGUCAGAAUGAAGGUAGAGUCUAAGCUCGGAGGGGAACUUAGUAAUGACACAAUUACGAGCCAACUACAGUAAUAUUAGUUGGCGAAGCUUAUAAAUUACCAAAGGAAGUCAAAACUGAAUUAAGUUAAAAAUGGGGAACCAAUCACAAGGACCAAUAGUAGCAGAAGAGCACUAGCUCUCGUGUGCUGCAGACUGAACAUCGCACAGCCUGAUGCACCGUUCACACUCAACUGUCCAGCGUUGAUAAAUUCACCCUUGCCAGAAGUUAUGGACACAUUCACAGAUGAGGAACAAUCAUAAUCUGUCCAUCCAAUCCUUUGCCGAGCCAAGUCAUACACAAUGAUUUUGUCUUUCAGAACAAGAU